UCAGACAUGCAGAGAAGGCUCCAACCAAGACUGUUUACAAAAUAGAUGACAUGACAGCUGCACCCAUGGAUGUUCAUCAGUGGGUGGACACAGAUGACACCAGUGGUGAAAAUACUGUAGUUCCUCCAGAAACAUAUGUGAAAGUAGCUGGCCACCUGAGGUCCUUUUAGAACAAAAAGAUCCUGGGCCUUUAAGAUCAUGCUCCUAGAGAAUAUGAAUGAAUUUACCACACAUAUCCUAGAGGUAGUCAACAAGCACGUGGUGCUGAGCCAGCCCUCAGAAGGGAAAGCAUCUAUUCAGCAAUCCAGGAAUGGGGGAAGCAGGAAGCUUUCAUGGAAAUAGCUUCAUGCUAACAAAUGGCCUCACUAAGGCCCCAAACCAGGUGCUGAAUUUGAUUAAGGUUUGCCCAAGACCUGAAGGAUUGAACUUUCAGAAUCCCGGGACCCAGCUCCAACACAUGCUUGUAGCUUCAAUCAAGCAAGUUGUGGAUUUUCUUUUCC
RNAcentral lists this long non-coding RNA (500 nucleotides) under Marmota monax (woodchuck). Lineage: Eukaryota; Metazoa; Chordata; Mammalia; Rodentia; Sciuridae. The record is from RNAcentral.